This 429-nucleotide ribosomal RNA is filed under the name Actinomycetes bacterium. RNAcentral's name for it is "Actinobacteria bacterium partial 16S ribosomal RNA". It matches the Rfam family "Bacterial small subunit ribosomal RNA", at positions 355 to 776 of the family's 1533-position model. Lineage: Bacteria; Bacillati; Actinomycetota; Actinomycetes. The record is from RNAcentral.
UAGGGAAUCUUCCGCAAUGGGCGAAAGCCUGACGGAGCAACGCCGCGUGAGUGAUGAAGGUCUUCGGAUCGUAAAACUCUGUUAUUAGGGAAGAACAACUGUGUAAGUAACUAUGCACGUCUUGACGGUACCUAAUCAGAAAGCCACGGCUAACUACGUGUCAGCAGCCGCGGUAAUACGUAGGUGGCAAGCGUUAUCCGGAAUUAUUGGGCGUAAAGCGCGCGUAGGCGGUUUUUUAAGUCUGAUGUGAAAGCCCACGGCUCAACCGCUGAGGGUCAGUGGAUGCUGGAAAACUUGAGUACAGAAGAGGAAAGUGGAAGUACAUGUGUAGCGGUGAAAUGCGCAGUAAUAUUGCGGAACACCAGUGGCGAAGGCGACUUUCUGGUCUGUAACUGACGAUGAUGUGCGAAAGCGUGGGGAUCAAACAGG